Regulatory RNA element from Paenibacillus mucilaginosus 3016, 159 nucleotides. It matches the Rfam family "Ribosomal protein L10 leader". Rfam says of the family: This family is a putative r-protein leader autoregulatory structure found in B. subtilis and other low-GC Gram-positive bacteria. The record is from Rfam. NCBI's taxonomy places the organism in Bacteria, Bacillati, Bacillota, Bacilli, Caryophanales, Paenibacillaceae.
AACAAACGAAUAUGCUUACCGUAGACAGUAGGUGCCCCCGGGCUUAAUUCCCUACCGAGGUGUUAUGAUAUAAGUUCGGAUAUUCUUUGCUCGUGAGCUUAAGAAUACUUGAAUCAUCAUGCCUUCGCCUUGUCUGCGAAGGCAUUUUCGCAUUUAAAC